This 497-nucleotide ribosomal RNA is filed under the name uncultured bacterium. Its description in RNAcentral is "partial 16S ribosomal RNA". It matches the Rfam family "Bacterial small subunit ribosomal RNA", at positions 28 to 507 of the family's 1533-position model. The record is from RNAcentral.
GAUGAACGCUGGCGGCGUGCCUAAUACAUGCAAGUCGAGCGAACAGACGAGGAGCUUGCUCCUCUGACGUUAGCGGCGGACGGGUGAGUAACACGUGGAUAACCUACCUAUAAGACUGGGAUAACUUCGGGAAACCGGAGCUAAUACCUGAUAAUAUAUUGAACCGCAUGGUUCAAUAGUGAAAGACGGUUUUGCUGUCACUUAUAGAUGGAUCCGCGCCGCAUUAGCUAGUUGGUAAGGUAACGGCUUACCAAGGCGACGAUGCGUAGCCGACCUGAGAGGGUGAUCGGCCACACUGGAACUGAGACACGGUCCAGACUCCUACGGGAGGCAGCAGUAGGGAAUCUUCCGCAAUGGGCGAAAGCCUGACGGAGCAACGCCGCGUGAGUGAUGAAGGUCUUCGGAUCGUAAAACUCUGUUAUUAGGGAAGAACAAAUGUGCAAGUAACUAUGCACGUCUUGACGGUACCUAAUCAGAAAGCCACGGCUAACUACGUG